Molecule: transfer RNA, 68 nt
Filed under: Buccinulum vittatum vittatum
Lineage: Eukaryota; Metazoa; Mollusca; Gastropoda; Neogastropoda; Buccinidae
Description: tRNA-Thr
Source: RNAcentral
GCAAUAAGAGGAAAUAAUACUCACUUUUGGCUUACAAGACCAAUGCUCUAAACUUAAGCUAUUAUUGC